This is a long non-coding RNA of Neogale vison (American mink), 462 nucleotides long. RefSeq lists it as uncharacterized. The transcript has 4 exons. NCBI's taxonomy places the organism in Eukaryota, Metazoa, Chordata, Mammalia, Carnivora, Mustelidae. The record is from RefSeq and is a predicted model, not a curated record.
AGCAGCUCUGAUGUUCAUUGUAUCUGCUCUCCUCUAUCUGCUGAUGUGACAGCUAGCACAGAUACUAAAGAGGUACCACUCUAAGGAGAUUUCACACAUUCUGCUAAUGCAAAAGAGGAGAUUAAAGCCCAACGGGCUAGGUGAUGUCUGGGAAGAGACGCUGAAACAUGACUUUCAGAAGCCAUCCUGUUUGAAGGAUGAUUGUACUCUGGGAAGCAUUGAACUAUGACCAUUGUGUGUCCCCUCCAUAGCCUCAGAGUAUAAUGAAAGUCAGUUUCCGCCCUUUUGCAUUUAGCUUGGUCCACAAACGACACAAUUCAGGAGGAUUAACACCACCAGCUGGGAGCAAUAUCACAGAAAACAUUUUUGAAAAAUCUUGAAGCAUACCUACAGGCAUGUUGGUGAGAAAUUUGUUUCAUUUGAAGAGCAAACUCAGUGCCACAGACUGACACACCCUCUGAG